Molecule: ribosomal RNA, 252 nt
Filed under: uncultured prokaryote
Description: partial 16S ribosomal RNA
Rfam family: Bacterial small subunit ribosomal RNA
Source: RNAcentral
UACGGAGGAUGCGAGCGUUAUCCGGAUUUAUUGGGUUUAAAGGUGCGUAGGCGGCUUAGUAAGUCAGCGGUGAAAUUUCGCAGCUUAACUGUAACAGUGCCGUUGAUACUGCCAGGCUAGGAUUUGGUUGCUGUGGGUGGAAUGUGUGGUGUAGCGGUGAAAUGCUUAGAUAUCACACAGAAUAUCGAUUGCGAAGGCAGCUCACAAAAGCCAAGAUUGACGCUGAGGCACGAAAGUGUGGGGAGUCAAACA